Molecule: long non-coding RNA, 996 nt
Filed under: Apteryx owenii (little spotted kiwi)
Lineage: Eukaryota; Metazoa; Chordata; Aves; Apterygiformes; Apterygidae
Description: lncRNA (ENSAOWG00000014673.1)
Source: RNAcentral
AUGAAUUAUAAAUAUGAAAUCUUUUCUCGGGGCAAUUCCCACCAACCAAGGUGGGGAGAAGAGCAAGGACUGUGUGCGAGACAUCCUUCUUCCGAAACAUGCUUUGUUAAGGUGAGCGUCGUUGAGAAGCAGAUGAAAUGUCCCACCUGCUGCUGGUUUGAUGCAUUCUUUCUGAUGAGAAGGAUGAAGACUGUGUCUGACAGAGCCAAACUUAAAAAAAAAAACAAAAAAAACCCUUUGAGGCAAUACACUCCAGGUGCUGCUUUUCCAUUCACCUGCCCAUUUAAUUGCCCCGGUGGGAGGCGAGGCCGGCAGCCAGGUGAUACGGCCCAUGAUACGUCAGCAGGAAGGCCUGGAGGAGUAUCAGCCUUUCUGAAUGGGGGGGAAUUGGGGCUUCCAGCAUGCUCAUGGGCUGGCGAGUAAACAAAACCCAGGUGAUGCACGAGCCACAGGUUCCCAAUUAAGCAGAGUGGUGAUUGCUCAGAGGGGAUUAAAUAGGAGACCCCCAUGGUGCUUCCUUUUGUCCAUGAAGUCUCCUCACCAUCAAAGGCUCCCUGAAAACUGCAGCCAACACGUGGGUCAUCGUAACCCACUGGUCGCGCUGGCUGGCUGCUGCGGGCGGGGAUGCUGACCACCCCGGCUGAGGACUGCCUCCGAGAAAUGGGCGUUGGGAGCCGUGUUCUGCAAAAUCUGUAAUUCCUUCGGUUUGGUUUUAUCUCGGACUCUUCCCUGGGGAGGCUGAUCCUGGCCGGGGCUGAGCUCUGGCAUGCCUGGAUCGUUAGGUGGUGGCUGGGCGUGAGUAGCUGGGGGCUCCUGGGAAUGCGGAAAAGCCCCUUCCCACGGGAGCAUGCCGGGAUGCCGUUGCUCCAGAUGGGUGCAGAGGACACUGGUGCCCAGUGGGGAAGCAACUUCCUUUGCUAGAAAGGAGUAUUAAACAGUACAACGAAACCCAAAGGCAUGAAUAAAAUAACAUUUCUCCAAUAUCUGUUUCUAAUG